RNAcentral lists this ribosomal RNA (255 nucleotides) under uncultured bacterium. RNAcentral's name for it is "partial 16S ribosomal RNA". It matches the Rfam family "Bacterial small subunit ribosomal RNA", at positions 52 to 334 of the family's 1533-position model. The record is from RNAcentral.
CACAUGCAAGUCGAACGAAGCCUUCGGGCUUAGUGGCGGACGGGUUAGUAACGCGUGGGAACGUGCCUUUCACUACGGAAUAGUCCUGGGAAACUGGGGUUUAAUACCGUAUACGCCCUUCGGGGGAAAGAUUUAUCGGUGAAGGAUCGGCCCGCGUUAGAUUAGAUAGUUGGUGGGGUAAUGGCCUACCAAGUCUACGAUCUAUAGCUGGUUUUAGAGGAUGAUCAGCAACACUGGGACUGAGACACGGCCCAG